AUGGAGGUGCCCAUGCCUCGAUUAAGGCCCUCGAAGUCUAUUGAUGAGGGGAUGUUUUCAGGAGAUAACUACGUCAACUAUUCCAGCAGUAUGCCCCCUGCGUUUGGUUUGCCAGAGUAUUCCUCACCCAUAAUCAGUCACGAUGGCCAACCCAAGUCGGCUCCCUCAAUGUUCGGCAAUCAGCCUGCCACCGCAUUUAUCCACCCACUAACCGGGAAAGUACUGGACCCCUCAUCACCGCUUGGCCUUGCGUUAGCGGCCAGAGAACGAGCCUUGAAGGACGACCGCAGGACGCGCCGCGACGACAGGUAUUUUAGUCGUCAGAUGUCCACGGUGGGAGCUUUUCCAACCCCUAUUCAGACUCCGACCCCUUCAUUGUUCGCGACCCCUACUCAAUCGACGUACACUUCUCCGGUUUCCGUGCAUCUCACUUCGCCCACCGCCACCACCUCGCCGGCAUCGCUAAGCCGGCCCCAGUCCCCGAGGAUACUGCGUAUGGGGGGUGGGGAAAGGGUGGAGAGGGAGAAGGAAGCGGGGCCGCGAGAGGGUCUCAGAGUCCGCUUUUCAGAGGACAGAACCAGUCAGUAUGCGCCGCAAUAUUACCCAGGCCCGAAGGAUAAAGAGGUGUACAACAACAGGCCUGUCUCAAUGGCGCAGCCUCCCCCACCUCCAAGUCAGCCCGCCCCUUGCAGACCCUCGUUCCUUCAAUUCGAGAGUGCGUCUCACUCCAGCUACAUCCCUCAGUACACUGUCCCGUCGGGCCCAUCACAUGAGAGAGCAUGCGAGGCAGCGGCAGGACAGUCCCAGGAGGGUUUAGGACUUAUGGUACUCCCUCCGCCCGCUCCGUCAAUUGAUGUUGACGAUGAGUUUGUCUUUGCCGACCCAUUACCUCCACCGCUGCAGUUUGCCAACGGGAAACAUGAGAGGGGUUUAAAGCAUCAUGUCCCGGGGCACAACGCCACUGGUGUAGCCCAUCCACAACCGCCUCCUGCGAAAAACACCCCCCAGACGACUUCACAAGGGGACUCGGCUGCAUCCAGUUUGACCUCCUAUGACAGCGAAGUGGCGACCCUUACACAAUCGGCACUGUCUCCGUCAUACUCGUCACCGCAGGUAUUUCCUUCGACGACCACUGCUGCUACAAGCUCUGCUGAUGCUCCCCCAUCGUCACUACACAGGCCGCAGCCCCUGUCCCAGCCUCAGGACUAUUACAGCAGCUCCAAUGACCCGUCGGCGAGUGGACAAAGCCUCGCUCAAGACAGAGGUUCCGCCGCCCUAACCACCACCAUGACAUACGCAACAACCACUAUGACUGCAACUUCAGCGGCCACCACUACAGCAGCCCCCCUGCAACCUCUGACUACAGCAUGGCAGGCCCAAAAGCUAGCGUCGCCACGGGAGCAAAAGCUGCAGACCACACGCAUCAUUACUCCAUGGUUCAGAAAAGUGGAGACUGGCAGGACGCAGUGGUGGACUCUGGCAUAG
This 1485-nucleotide long non-coding RNA is filed under the name Neogobius melanostomus (round goby). RNAcentral describes it as "lncRNA (ENSNMLG00000000162.1)". Lineage: Eukaryota; Metazoa; Chordata; Actinopteri; Gobiiformes; Gobiidae. The record is from RNAcentral.